This 459-nucleotide ribosomal RNA is filed under the name Strongylopus wageri (Wager's stream frog). RNAcentral's name for it is "partial 16S ribosomal RNA". It matches the Rfam family "Bacterial large subunit ribosomal RNA", at positions 1935 to 2562 of the family's 2925-position model. The record is from RNAcentral. Lineage: Eukaryota; Metazoa; Chordata; Amphibia; Anura; Pyxicephalidae.
GGUACCCUAACCGUGCGAAGGUAGCAUAAUCACUUGUUCUUUAAAUAGGGACUAGUAUCAACGGCAUCACGAGGGUUUCACUGUCUCCUUUCUCCAAUCAAUGAAACUGAUCUCCCCGUGAAGAAGCGGGGAUUUAAUUAUAAGACGAGAAGACCCCAUGGAGCUUCAAGCCCAACAACAGCCCUGCAAAAUUUUUCUUAAUAGCCUUAAAGUCCUGUUUGUUAGCUUUAGGUUGGGGUGACCGCGGAGUAUAAUACAACCUCCACGACGGACGGGCUUCAACCCCUUAUCCAAGAGCCACUGCUCUAAGAAUCAUUAAACUGACGUAAAGUGAUCCAAUUAUUGAUCAACGAACCAAGUUACCCUGGGGAUAACAGCGCAAUCCAUUUCAAGAGCCCCUAUCGACAAAUGGGUUUACGACCUCGAUGUUGGAUCAGGGUAUCCUAGUGGCGCAGCCGC